GCCCUCGCCGCGCACUCCUCCUAGUAACUUCUGUUCGGGGAGGCGCUGCCAGGAAUAACCCGGUGCGUCCACAGCCCGGAGGGGAGGUGGCCGCUGCGGCUCCCGCACGCCGACAAACUGCGGCCCGGGUCCUGCGGCUCAAGCCCCAGCCUAGCGGCCCUGGCCCCCGCCCUGGCUCCAUCUCCUAACAGUGUCCGAAAAU
RNAcentral lists this long non-coding RNA (202 nucleotides) under Mus musculus (house mouse). RNAcentral describes it as "long non-coding RNA chr10:13965773-13965975". Lineage: Eukaryota; Metazoa; Chordata; Mammalia; Rodentia; Muridae. The record is from RNAcentral.